This 449-nucleotide ribosomal RNA is filed under the name uncultured bacterium. Its description in RNAcentral is "partial 16S ribosomal RNA". It matches the Rfam family "Bacterial small subunit ribosomal RNA", at positions 338 to 795 of the family's 1533-position model. The record is from RNAcentral.
CCUACGGGAGGCUGCAGUGAGGAAUUUUGCGCAAUGGCCGCAAGGCUGACGCAGCAACGCCGCGUGGGUGAUGAAGGCCUUCGGGUCGUAAAGCCCUGUCAGGUGGGAAGAAAGGUUUCAAGGGGAAAGACUUGGGAUUUGACGGUACCACCAGAGGAAGCACCGGCUAACUCCGUGCCAGCAGCCGCGGUAAUCCGGAGGGUGCGAGCGUUAUUCGGAAUUACUUAGGGUAGGGCGCGUGUAGGCGGGGAAAGCCCUGGGCUUAACCUUGGAAGUGCAUUGGAAACUGUUUUUCUUGAGUACUGGAGAGGAAGGGGGAAUUCCCGGUGUAGAGGUGAAAUUCGUAGAGAUCGGGAGGAAUACCAGUGGCGUAGGCGCCCUUCUGGACGGUAACUGACGCUGAGACGCGAAAGCGUGGGGAGCAAACAGGAUUAGAUACCCUAGUAGUC